GAUGAACGCUAGCGGCAGGCUUAACACAUGCAAGUCGAGGGGCAUCGAGAGAGUAGCAAUACUUUUGUCGGCGACCGGCGGACGGGUGCGUAACGCGUAUGCAACCUACCUUAUACAGGGGGAGUAACCUUUCGAAAGGGAGACUAAUACCGCAUAACAUUACUUUGAGGCAUCUUGAGGUAAUUAAAUCUUCGGAGGUAUAAGAUGGGCAUGCGUAGCAUUAGCUAGAUGGUGCGGUAACGGCGUACCAUGGCGACGAUGCUUAGGGGUUCUGAGAGGAAGGUCCCCCACACUGGUACUGAGAUACGGACCAGACUCCUACGGGAGGCAGCAGUGAGGAAUAUUGGUCAAUGGGUCGGAAGACUGAACCAGCCAUGCCGCGUGCAGGAUGACGGCUCUACGAGUUGUAAACUGCCUUUGUACGAGGGUAAACCUAGNUACGCGUAUCUAGC
Molecule: ribosomal RNA, 452 nt
Filed under: uncultured bacterium
Lineage: Bacteria
Description: bacterial SSU rRNA
Rfam family: Bacterial small subunit ribosomal RNA
Source: RNAcentral